UACGGAGGGUGCAAGCGUUGUCCGGAUUUAUUGGGUUUAAAGGGUGCGUAGGCGGCCCGUUAAGUCAGCGGUGAAAUCCCACGGCUCAACCGUGGAACUGCCGUUGAUACUGGCGGGCUUGAGUUCGGUCGAGGCGGGCGGAACUGGCGGUGUAGCGGUGAAAUGCUUAGAUACCGCCAAGAACCCCGAUUGCGUAGGCAGCUCGCUGGGCCGAAACUGACGCUGAGGCA
Molecule: ribosomal RNA, 230 nt
Filed under: uncultured microorganism
Description: partial 16S ribosomal RNA
Rfam family: Bacterial small subunit ribosomal RNA
Source: RNAcentral